This 1341-nucleotide ribosomal RNA is filed under the name uncultured bacterium. RNAcentral describes it as "16S ribosomal RNA". It matches the Rfam family "Bacterial small subunit ribosomal RNA", at positions 30 to 1378 of the family's 1533-position model. The record is from RNAcentral.
CGAACGCUGGCGGCGUGCUUAACACAUGCAAGUCGAACGGAAAGGCCCUGCUUUUGUGGGGUGCUCGAGUGGCGAACGGGUGAGUAACACGUGAGUAACCUGCCCUUGACUUUGGGAUAACUUCAGGAAACUGGGGCUAAUACCGGAUAGGAGCUCCUGCUGCAUGGUGGGGGUUGGAAAGUUUCGGCGGUUGGGGAUGGACUCGCGGCUUAUCAGCUUGUUGGUGGGGUAGUGGCUUACCAAGGCUUUGACGGGUAGCCGGCCUGAGAGGGUGACCGGCCACAUUGGGACUGAGAUACGGCCCAGACUCCUACGGGAGGCAGCAGUGGGGAAUAUUGCACAAUGGGCGGAAGCCUGAUGCAGCAACGCCGCGUGCGGGAUGACGGCCUUCGGGUUGUAAACCGCUUUCGCCUGUGACGAAGCGUGAGUGACGGUAAUGGGUAAAGAAGCACCGGCUAACUACGUGCCAGCAGCCGCGGUGAUACGUAGGGUGCGAGCGUUGUCCGGAUUUAUUGGGCGUAAAGGGCUCGUAGGUGGUUGAUCGCGUCGGAAGUGUAAUCUUGGGGCUUAACCCUGAGCGUGCUUUCGAUACGGGUUGACUUGAGGUUGGUAGGGGAGAAUGGAAUUCCUGGUGGAGCGGUGGAAUGCGCAGAUAUCAGGAGGAACACCAGUGGCGAAGGCGGUUCUCUGGGCCUUUCCUGACGCUGAGGAGCGAAAGCGUGGGGAGCGAACAGGCUUAGAUACCCUGGUAGUCCACGCUGUAAACGGUGGGUACUAGGUGUGGGGUCCAUUCCACGGGUUCCGUGCCGUAGCUAACGCUUUAAGUACCCCGCCUGGGGAGUACGGCCGCAAGGCUAAAACUCAAAGGAAUUGACGGGGCCCCGCACAAGCGGCGGAGCAUGCGGAUUAAUUCGAUGCAACGCGUAGAACCUUACCUGGGUUUGACAUGGAUCGGGAGUGCUCAGAGAUGGGUGUGCCUCUUUUGGGGUCGGUUCACAGGUGGUGCAUGGCUGUCGUCAGCUCGUGUCGUGAGAUGUUGGGUUAAGUCCCGCAACGAGCGCAACCCUUGUUCACUGUUGCCAGCACGUUAUGGUGGGGACUCAGUGGAGACCGCCGGGGUCAACUCGGAGGAAGGUGGGGAUGACGUCAAGUCAUCAUGCCCCUUAUGUCCAGGGCUUCACGCAUGCUACAAUGGCUGGUACAGAGAGUGGCGAGCCUGUGAGGGUGAGCGAAUCUCGGAAAGCCGGUCUCAGUUCGGAUUGGGGUCUGCAACUCGACCUCAUGAAGUCGGAGUCGCUAGUAAUCGCAGAUCAGCAACGCUGCGGUGAAUACGUUCCCGGG